UACGGAGGGGGCUAGCGUUGUUCGGAAUUACUGGGCGUAAAGCGCACGUAGGCGGCUUUGCAAGUUAGAGGUGAAAGCCCGGGGCUUAACCCCGGAAUUGCCUUUAAAACUGCAUCGCUAGAAUUGUGGAGAGGUGAGUGGAAUUCCGAGUGUAGAGGUGAAAUGCGCAGAUAUCAGGAGGAACACCGGUGGCGAAGGCGGGUCUCUGGGCCGAUAUUGACGCUGAGGAGCGAAAGCGUGGGGAGCGAACAGG
This 253-nucleotide ribosomal RNA is filed under the name uncultured bacterium. RNAcentral describes it as "partial 16S ribosomal RNA". It matches the Rfam family "Bacterial small subunit ribosomal RNA", at positions 524 to 776 of the family's 1533-position model. The record is from RNAcentral.